Molecule: RNA transcript, 1456 nt
Organism: Rhododendron vialii
Lineage: Eukaryota; Viridiplantae; Streptophyta; Magnoliopsida; Ericales; Ericaceae
Gene name: dolichol-phosphate mannosyltransferase subunit 1-like
Exons: 5
Source: RefSeq, a predicted model, not a curated record
CCAUGUUAAUGAUCGCAGUAAUCGAACUCUAAUUAGUACAUAAUCCGGGAUGAUCAAGGUGAGUUUGUUUUUUUUAAAAUAGACUUGGCCACAUUGAAUUAAACCCAUCUUAUUAUCGAAUAGAUUCACUUCGCGAGCGAGCGAGCGACACAGAGAGAUUGUUCAGCAGAGCAGAGGAAGUGAUGGGGCUGGUCUAAAACUGCCAUUGUAAACAGGGAUGUUUAUUUUGAAAUGAUAACAAUUGAUGACUGAAGUCCUGAUGGAACUCAAGAUGUUGUCAAAAGGUUGCAGAAGGUGUAUGGAGAAGAUCGUAUUGUAAGUAGCAUUGGAACUAUAUUCGAUGAUCAAUUAUUUUACUCAUUAUUGGCUUGUAACACCCUUAAUUUGUCCUUUAUAAAUGCAGCUGUUGAGAGCUAGACCGAAGAAACUUGAAUGAUGUAAUGUAUAUAAGCUCUUUUUUUGCAAUGAAAAUGAUGAGCUGGUACUUGAUGCAGUUUUAAUUUCAGGGACUCCUUAUGUUCACGGUUUGAAGCAUGUCUCGGGCAAUUUUGUUGUGAUCAUGGAUGCGGACUUAUCGCACCAUGUAAGUAUGUGUUUUGAUUGCUAAUGGAAACUAUGGGUUUUCUUUUGGUGGGUUGUGUCUGUUUGAGAGAGACGUGGGAAAACAAGUUCAUGUUGAUGGAUACGUUGCGGACUAAUGCAUUGUCAGGAUACUAAAGAUGUGAUCGUAAGCAUUCCUUCAGUUCUACUAGUUCAUUUAUGUCUAAAUUCUCUGCGACGCCAACCAUUCUGCCACUGGACUCCUUUUUUCGAAGGAUUUCAAUUAAUUAAUAGCUGACUUGGACCAUGCAAUGUUGUACUAUCUUGACGAGUAUGCUUUGAGUACUGAAGGUGCAACUGUAUUCAAGUCCAGAUAAAGGGACAUGUCAAUGAUGUAACAAAAUAUUUUGAAACAGAUGGAGACUGGUGGAAGUAUAGUUACUGGAACUAGGCUCUAUAAGAAAUCGGUGCUUGAAGAUGUCAUAAGCACUUGCGGCAUUAGUAAGGGAUACAAUUUUCAGAUGGAGAUUAUUUUUGGAAGCUUCAAGAAAAGGGUACCAUAAUGAAGAGGUUAGAAAUUACCUUUGUUGAUAGGGUAUAUGGAAGUUCAAAACCUGGAGGUUCAAAAAUAGUUGGAUAUCGUUGUGAACGUAUGAUGCAAUAUACGUUGUUUGUUUACCUUUGCAAAGUUGUCAAUCGUAAGGGUCUGGCAUAUCUUUUGGUUACGACUUGAAGUGGAGAGAGAUUGUUUGCUAUUUUUCUUUUCUUUUUUUGGCUUGCAGUAGAGUCAUUGUUUUUGCAAGUCAGGAAUUCUGAUUGAAACAACUGAUGCAAGCAAUUUGAUCAACCCUAAGUAUCGUCUCUCUUAUUCCCUGAUUGUAUCACUUCCACUCUGUCAACAAAUUUUACAAAUAUC